GUUUUCUCUUUUUCUCAUAUUCCGUGGGAAUAAGAAAUAGGAAUCGUGGGCCGGCCUGGUGGUGCAGCGGUUAAGUUCACACGUUUCCCUUCUCGGUGGCCUGGGGUUCGCCUGUUCGGAUCCUGGGUAUGGACAUGACAAUGCUUGGCAUGCCAUGCUGUGGUAGGCGUCCCACAUAUAAAGUAGAGGAAGAUGGGCAUGGAUGUUAGCUCAGGGCCAGGCUUCCUCAGCAAAAAGAGGAGGACUAGCAGUAGUUAGCUCAGAGCUAAUCUUCCUCAAAAAAAAAAAAAAAAGAAAUAGAAAUCAAUGUGUCAUUUGCAAAAUCUCCCUAUUGUUGGGGAACUCAAAUCAUCCAGGGUAUCUGCACCUUCGUGCUGGUAAAUUGUCCUUCCAGGAAAGAAAAUAGUUGGGUGCACAGCUCGUCAUGGAGCAUCUUUAGUCAUACAGCUGUCUGCUUUCACCCUGGAAGGAAAAAACAUUAACACCCCUGGAGGGAACUCAGAGGUCAUCUCUGUUUUGGAGGCUGAGACUUCUUCUCCCCUUGUGUGCGUUAGCUACUGCUGCAUAACAAAUCACCACAAGCUUAGCAGCUGAAGACAAAACCCAUUGAUCGUCUCACAUUUCUGUAGACCAGCAGUGGGACCCUCUGUUCAGGGUCUCUCAAGGCUGCAAUCAGGGCGUCAGCCACAUCACCUUCUCAUUUGUUGUCUUCCAAGCUCAUUCAGAUCCAUGGCGGCAUCUAGUUCCUUGCAGUUGCUGAACCGAGGUGUCUGUUUUGUAGCUAGCUGUUGGUGGGAGAUGGCUCCCAGCUCCAAGAGGCUGCCCACAAUUCCUGGCCAGCUAGGGGAGAACUGGAAAAGGUUCAGCUUGUGUACUGUAAUGUUGCUUCUUUAUUAUAUAACCAUUUUUACAUAAGUACUUAAUAUAAGUUCGGACAUUUUUUAGGAGCUUCACAAAUAUUAACUCGUUGAAUCCUCACAAGACUUUAGGAGGUAGGCACUAUUAUUCUUGCUCUCUUACAGAUGAGAAGGACUGAGGCACAAAGAAGGGAAGUCAUUGCCCACAGUCACACAGCCUGCAGGUGCAGCUCGAGUUCAAAGCCAGGCGUGCUGGCUCACAAGUCCAUGCUCUGAGCCUCUGCCUGCGCUGCCUGGACUCUCCUCCCAGGCGGGGAGUCCUUCCCACCUGCACGCGGCAGGCUGGGCGUUAUUUCCAACAGUGGGAGGGGCCUGGUUGGGGUGGGCACAGCUCCUUCUGCAAAGAGACAGCUCCCCUAAUUCAGUUCAUUAUUUCAUCCGGACACACCGCCAUAUGACCGCGUCCUCACGCUGACCUCCACCCUCUUGUUAUUUUGCCAGCUCCAAAGCAGGUGCUUAUGCAAAGGUUUGGAAGAUGAUAAACAAUCUCGGAAUGGUUGUUUGGUUUCCCGAGGUUCCACAGUGGCGAGUACCUUCCGUCUGAAUCACAUACCCUCCUUGUAGUGUGCUACGCCUUGGGAUGAAAUUUUCAACAAGACCCCGACUUUUCUUGCGUACGUUUUAUUCCUUGUGAGCACAGUAUUCUCUUGUACACUGUACACAGUUUUGCUAUUGUCCAGAGCAAUGGAAGGGAAAAUUGAUGUCCAUUUUGGGGUGAAAAUCUAAAAGGCCAUCCUCCCUACCCUCACUGUUACUGGGCUCCCCUUCCCAUUGACCUUGCACCCUCUACUCCGGCUGCUUUUAUUCUAAAUGUCUUCUUCCUUCUCUAUUGAGCUUUUAAAGCAGACAUAUAGACAAACACCCAAAC
RNAcentral lists this long non-coding RNA (1785 nucleotides) under Equus caballus (horse). RNAcentral describes it as "lncRNA (ENSECAG00000057041.1)". Lineage: Eukaryota; Metazoa; Chordata; Mammalia; Perissodactyla; Equidae. The record is from RNAcentral.